This 627-nucleotide ribosomal RNA is filed under the name uncultured Bacteroidota bacterium. Its description in RNAcentral is "bacterial SSU rRNA". It matches the Rfam family "Bacterial small subunit ribosomal RNA", at positions 62 to 691 of the family's 1533-position model. Lineage: Bacteria; Pseudomonadati; Bacteroidota. The record is from RNAcentral.
UCGAGGGGUGAAGUCUUCGGACUUUGAGACCGGCGCACGGGUGCGUAACGCGUAUGCAAUCUACCUUACACUAAGGGAUAGCCCAGAGAAAUUUGGAUUAAUACCUUAUAGUAUGUGACUGGGACAUCCCUAAUACAUUAAAGAUUUAUCGGUGUAAGAUGAGCAUGCGUCCCAUUAGCUAGUUGGUGUGGUAACGGCAUACCAAGGCAAUGAUGGGUAGGGGUCCCGAGAGGGAGAUCCCCCACACUGGUACUGAGACACGGACCAGACUCCUACGGGAGGCAGCAGUGAGGAAUAUUGGUCAAUGGGCGCAAGCCUGAACCAGCCAUGCCGCGUGUAGGAUGACGCAUCUAUGGUGUGUAAACUACUUUUGUACAGGAAGAAACACUGCUACGUGUAGCAGCUUGACGGUACUGUAAGAAUAAGGAUCGGCUAACUCCGUGCCAGCAGCCGCGGUAAUACGGAGGAUCCAAGCGUUAUCCGGAAUCAUUGGGUUUAAAGGGUCCGUAGGCGGUUUUAUAAGUCAGUGGUGAAAUCCGGUAGCUCAACUAUCGAACGGCCAUUGAUACUGUAGAACUUGAAUUAUUGUGAAGUAACUAGAAUAUGUAGUGUAGCGGUGAAAUGCUU